UCGGCGUGACCUGGCCCGUGGUCGGCUCGUCUGUGUAAACGUGUCCCAUCGGAGGAACAUCACGAUAGACGAGGCGGGGAGAAGGAGGGGUCAGGGGUGGUGUGUGAGUGUGUCGGGGCCCGUUGAGUGCGAGGACGGGUGGUGUUUCGGGGGUCCGUGGAGACGACGCCGGAGGAGGCCUGGAGAAAGAUGGCCGCGGAGGUGAGGAGGUAGGGGAGGUCGGGGCGAGGCGGCAGCAGAGGUGAUACUGUGGGGGAGGUCGGGGCGAGGCAGCGGGGGAGGUCCUAGGUCGGUGACUGAGGUGGUGGCGUACACGGGUAGAGGCGGUUGUCACAAACUGAAACUGCAUGUUCUUGAUCUGGUUCUUCUCUCUCUUCGCUUUCGGUGGGAAGCUCGGUACCUGGGGCGCUGCCGCCGGUACCCGAGGGAGGAGGGGUUCGACAAGCUCGAGGAGGUGCCUCUUAUGUUCGACGUCUUCCCGCACUUCUUUCUACAUGUUAAAGAGCUCUCCCUCUACUCCUCGUAUCUGCGGCGGGAGGCGUUUCACCGGUACCACGGCGCGCUGUUCGAGCUGCUGUUGAGGUUCUAGACCCGGUUACUACAGUCCCUCGACCGUAUGCUCUACCUCCUACACCAACUCGCGAAGUACCACCCGCAGGUCCCGAAACUCGGGCGGCGAUUGGGGCUGCCGAAGUUUCCCAAGCACUUCUUCCACCGGUCGAACAAGUGUUUUCCGUUCCGCGCGGUGGUCUAGCGGCUACGUUAGUUUCCGUAGUUCCUAGUCCAGGUCGUCCACCGCCUAGCUGCGCUGGCCAUGUUCUAACUACUACAACUCUGUUGAGAUGAUCGACGAAGUUGGUACCAACUGGGAGACCUGGGAGCGAACUACCAAGUCAAGUUUCUAGUCUCUCUCGAACAACCGUAGCUCCCCGGUUCUCUGCUCGAUUAGUUCUCCGACCGUCCACUUCUACCAACACACAGGUCCGUCGUCGAGUUCUAGGAGAGCUAGAAGCCUAAACCUCCUGAACCGUUCUGUUGGGAACGGUCUCGUCAAAUGCUGUUCUAUGUUCGUCUUAAGCAUACAUUCCGAAAACAAAGCCAGCCAGUCUUCGGAUUAGACUUCUUACAAGAGCAUCCAUAAGAGGAGGCUUAACUGUUUCGGAGAACAGUGUUACAAUGUAACAAUCUACUCCACGACGAGUAACUCUUUGAGGCUCUUGACGAAUGCUUGUUCUCCAUGGAAUAGUAUUAACUACUAUAUACCCUAUACUCAAGUACCCUAUAUUAGUUUACACAAAAAUGACUAUCAUUCACACCUUCGUCUCAUUAGUGUUGAUGAGCAUAGAAACUUCACCGUUUUCUCCGACCACUGUAAAUGUUCGUUCUUGGAGAAAGAGGUCCAUCUAGCUUCCUUAACAAGACAUACUCUAACAGAUAACCGUUUUCGUUUUCAGGAAUAGUACUUAGUCAAUUCUAUAGACUCUUCUAUAACGUCUUUACACCACCGUAUGGCGAUCGAUAGUAAUGUUAUCGAUCGAACAACCGAUCAUUUGGUCAUUGUCUAACCGGACCCCAGAUACUGAGAUAACCAAAGCCCUUACUUCUAUUGUUUCUUCACCUAUGGUGUUCUUUCUAUAACGAUAUAUCGAUGAUACUAGAAGGUAUAAUAGGUGCCGAAACGGAUAACGUGGAUCCGUAUAUGGGGCUUCUAAUACUCUAUUUUUUCCUGUGAAAUUAAACCUUCACCCACCGACUUCCUAUACAGGCACUCCUUGGUCCUUUUCCUAAUAAACUCCAACCUCUCUCUAUGGAGUUGUACGAGUAUCUGUCUUCGUACUAGGUCCGUCACCUCUCCGGUAUAGUGUCGUAGUAUAUACGAACAGCACACGUACUAAACCAUGAACUAUACUAAGUAAAAGAAAGUCUUCUGCUUUCAAAACAAUGACGUAGCUUGUCAUUGUACUGUAGAGGUGCAUGGUGAAGAGCAUCCAACCGGUAUUUAUUACUUUAGUAUCUCGUCCUACCUAGACAGCGAUUGUACUCGUACUUCGUCCACUCCAAUAUAUCACGGUGGUACACAGUGAAAUCAUGCAACGGUCACGAAAGUUUGAAAUUUCGAGAUGCACACAACCGAAAUCUUCUGACGUGAAAGUACCCUUCACUCGCGAGACACUUCGGCCUUCUAAGAGGAAUAGUAGAAUUAAUAGAACCCUCCGACUAAGUGGACUCCAUGGAACCCAAGAGUCUGGCCGACCAACCCAAGAGGGACGGACCCUAGAGGUACGGCGAAUAGAAUCUCCAGGGACUUCUUUAUCCCCUAAAUACCAAAAACGUUCAUGACCUGAACCCGUCUUGACCGUAAUUUUUUGACGGAGUUUGACAACCAGCCGAUUGCGUUAACUUCACGGACGCGAAACCGCCAAGGUCAUACCUCCACAACCUGACGUGCUUAAAUUGUAGGGAUCUUCUCGAUGUCAACGUGGAACAGAGAGGUCUAAAAGACUUUCCCGAACGGUUCGAUUUCCUCAACUCUUUCAAAUCGGAUGUGAAACUUCUCCUCGUGCCAUUAUACAACAAGUUUCUAAACUACCCUGUACAACGGUUAGAUGUUUUUGAAGUUCAGUAUUACCAAUGAACAUCCGUAGCUGGCAUAGGAGUCGGAACCAGGCUAAUGUGACCGAGACACUGGGAACCCGUGGAGGCAGUAGACUGUCACUUACCGGACGAAGGACCCGAUGGUCACACCUAAUUGAGGAGUACGGAGGGCUUGGAGACGGUGAACAUAUACCUUGACUGCCGAUACUUUAGCGUCCUAUACCUCUAGGAGCCCUCUAAGAGUCUCGAGUAAUGAGAGUGGCAAGAAGAGAUACUAAUGUACCGAAAAGGAUUGCGGUACCUCCUCCCACGUAAGGGGUUCAACUCUAUGAACCUUGACUUCUUAAAAUUGGUUGGGUCUAAACAUGACCCUCGUUACAGGUCGGAACUCACAAAAUCCUAUUAUUAGCCGGACCUUCCCUGGUUACCGACCCUGAAGGUAUCGGACCACUUGGAGGGAGCAGAACUCUUUCAACUACGACUUUAGGAUCCGUUGUGAUGGUACCCAUAGUUGCUUCUGCUCAACGUCCGUGUACUCAGCAACUUCGUCCGUGUACGUAGCAACUUCGUACGUCAACUCUAGGUAGGGUUAGUAGGGCGUGAGUUCAACGUCUAAAUAGUAUCAACUAGGCUAAAGGGUCGGCAGAACGUGAGUUACAUGGAGAAUGCCGAAGUAAACUGUCUUCCUCCGGAAGUACGUCUAUCAUUACCUCUACCUCAAGAUCUAGUACAAGUCUAGUCUUGUCUCGACACCAGACACCUCUACCGUUUCAACUGGCCCUAAUUUAGGCAUCCUACCUGAAGUUCGAUUACUCUAUGUCAUGUUCUAACUCACCGAUUUUUUCCAUUUGGGUAUCUAGAGGGUAAUACAAGGUAUACCGGUAAGUCAGGCCUACGGGAGUGUAGCUGCAUCAUUACAACGUUUAUGAAUUAAAGUCAAAAUACAAGGGCCACAUGACGUACCUAGAAGUCCCACAACUUGGGCUGACUCUGUGUGGGGUCACUGCCCUACCUUUGCUUUGUGUCACGGAAACGUUUCUCUUGGGUCGCAGCUAAGACUGUUACGAAGUUGUUAUAUAAGCCACCUACUAACCAACUGCACCUGCCUACCUGAAGACAGAUAGGCAACCACCGGGUAGCGCUAGGAACAUGUUCCCUCCUCUCGCCAUAAAUGUAACACGUAAUGUAGGUACUCAAGUUACCCGACAUGGACGUAGAACACUACUUGUAUCCAAUGUCAUUAUACACUAGAGUAAACACAACGUUUAUAACAAAAUAGUGGAUGCCUUUUCAGAGCUUAUACUCUAGCACUGAUACUCUCUCAUAGUCCCACUGGACGGUUCAAAGGACAUGGAGCUUUAGCACCUGACUCCCCUACUUCAGUCUUAUCAACGUCCCGCCGGGAUAGAAAACUGGGAUAACGAGCACACAAGGGAUCACAUCAAACAGUGAAAACCAAAAGCGCGGACGCUUAAAGAUUUUGGGUUCACACCCAAGACACCUGUAACCUAAACUUACACAUAACAACCUGCAUUUCACGAUCACCUUACAACUUCAGCGUCGUAAAGGGACUUUAAAGGUACUUUACAAACUUCAGCCUGGAUUUCACGGUCGCCUAUAUUUUC
RNAcentral lists this ribosomal RNA (4220 nucleotides) under Triticum aestivum (bread wheat). RNAcentral's name for it is "partial small subunit ribosomal RNA". Lineage: Eukaryota; Viridiplantae; Streptophyta; Magnoliopsida; Poales; Poaceae. The record is from RNAcentral.